This 782-nucleotide ribosomal RNA is filed under the name Clostridioides difficile. RNAcentral's name for it is "bacterial LSU rRNA". It matches the Rfam family "Bacterial large subunit ribosomal RNA", at positions 2072 to 2855 of the family's 2925-position model. The record is from RNAcentral. Lineage: Bacteria; Bacillati; Bacillota; Clostridia; Peptostreptococcales; Peptostreptococcaceae.
GCGACAGGACGGAAAGACCCCAUGGAGCUUUACUGUAGCUUGACAUUGGGUCUUGGUACUACAUGUACAGGAUAGGUGGGAGGCUUUGAAACCAGGACGCCAGUUUUGGCGGAGCCAUCCUUGGGAUACCACCCUUGUAGUACUGGGACUCUAACCAUAGGCCCUGAAUCUGGUCUUGGGACACUGUCAGGUGGGCAGUUUGACUGGGGCGGUCGCCUCCCAAAAGGUAACGGAGGCGCUCAAAGGUUCUCUCAGUACGGUCGGAAAUCGUACGUAGAGUGUAAAGGCAAAAGAGAGCUUGAUUGCAAGACAUACAGGUCGAGCAAGGAUGAAAAUCGGACUUAGUGAUCCGGUGGUUCUGCGUGGAAGGGCCAUCGCUCAACGGAUAAAAGCUACCCUGGGGAUAACAGGCUUAUCUCCCCCAAGAGUCCACAUCGACGGGGAGGUUUGGCACCUCGAUGUCGGCUCAUCACAUCCUGGGGCUGUAGUAGGUCCCAAGGGUUGGGCUGUUCGCCCAUUAAAGUGGUACGCGAGCUGGGUUCAGAACGUCGUGAGACAGUUCGGUCCCUAUCCGUCGCAGGCGUAGGAAAUUUGAGAAGACCUGUCCUUAGUACGAGAGGACCGGGAUGGACGUACCUCUGGUGUACCAGUUGUCCUGCCAAGGGCAUGGCUGGGUAGCUAUGUACGGAAUGGAUAAGCGCUGAAAGCAUCUAAGCGCGAAGCCAACUUCAAGAUAAGAUUUCCCACCGCAAGGGUAAGACCCCAGAAAGACUAUCUGGUUG